GGAGCGCUUAGAAGUGAGAAUGCCGGUGUGAGUAGCGAAAGACGGGUGAGAAUCCCGUCCACCGAUUGACUAAGGUUUCCAGAGGAAGGCUCGUCCGCUCUGGGUUAGUCGGGUCCUAAGCUGAGGCCGACAGGCGUAGGCGAUGGAUAACAGGUUGAUAUUCCUGUACCACCUAUAAUCGUUUUAAUCGAUGGGGGGACGCAGUAGGAUAGGCGAAGCGUGCGAUUGGAUUGCACGUCUAAGCAGUAAGGCUGAGUAUUAGGCAAAUCCGGUACUCGUUAAGGCUGAGCUGUGAUGGGGAGAAGACAUUGUGUCUUCGAGUCGUUGAUUUCACACUGCCGAGAAAAGCCUCUAGAUAGAAAAUAGGUGCCCGUACCGCAAACCGACACAGGUAGUCAAGAUGAGAAUUCUAAGGUGAGCGAGCGAACUCUCGUUAAGGAACUCGGCAAAAUGACCCCGUAACUUCGGGAGAAGGGGUGCUCUUUAGGGUUAACGCCCAGAAGAGCCGCAGUGAAUAGGCCCAAGCGACUGUUUAUCAAAAACACAGGUCUCUGCUAAACCGUAAGGUGAUGUAUAGGGGCUGACGCCUGCCCGGUGCUGGAAGGUUAAGAGGAGUGGUUAGCUUCUGCGAAGCUACGAAUCGAAGCCCCAGUAAACGGCGGCCGUAACUAUAACGGUCCUAAGGUAGCGAAAUUCCUUGUCGGGUAAGUUCCGACCCGCACGAAAGGCGUAACGAUUUGGGCACUGUCUCAACGAGAGACUCGGUGAAAUCAUAGUACCUGUGAAGAUGCAGGUUACCCGCGACAGGACGGAAAGACCCCGUGGAGCUUUACUGUAGCCUGAUAUUGAAAUUCGGCACAGCUUGUACAGGAUAGGUAGGAGCCUUUGAAACGUGAGCGCUAGCUUACGUGGAGGCGCUGGUGGGAUACUACCCUAGCUGUGUUGGCUUUCUAACCCGCACCACUUAUCGUG
This 972-nucleotide ribosomal RNA is filed under the name Staphylococcus aureus. Its description in RNAcentral is "partial 23S ribosomal RNA". It matches the Rfam family "Bacterial large subunit ribosomal RNA", at positions 1275 to 2243 of the family's 2925-position model. Lineage: Bacteria; Bacillati; Bacillota; Bacilli; Caryophanales; Staphylococcaceae. The record is from RNAcentral.